RNAcentral lists this ribosomal RNA (497 nucleotides) under uncultured bacterium. Its description in RNAcentral is "partial 16S ribosomal RNA". It matches the Rfam family "Bacterial small subunit ribosomal RNA", at positions 28 to 507 of the family's 1533-position model. The record is from RNAcentral.
GACGAACGCUGGCGGCGUGCCUAAUACAUGCAAGUUGAGCGCUGAAGGUUGGUCCUUGUACCAACUGGAUGAGCAGCGAACGGGUGAGUAACGCGUGGGGAAUCUGCCUUUGAGCGGGGGACAACAUUUGGAAACGAAUGCUAAUACCGCAUAAAAACUUUAAACACAAGUUUUAAGUUUGAAAGAUGCAAUUGCAUCACUCAAAGAUGAUCCCGCGUUGUAUUAGCUAGUUGGUGAGGUAAAGGCUCACCAAGGCGAUGAUACAUAGCCGACCUGAGAGGGUGAUCGGCCACAUUGGGACUGAGACACGGCCCAAACUCCUACGGGAGGCAGCAGUAGGGAAUCUUCGGCAAUGGACGAAAGUCUGACCGAGCAACGCCGCGUGAGUGAAGAAGGCUUUCGGAUCGUAAAACUCUGUUGGUAGAGAAGAACGUUGGUGAGAGUGGAAAGCUCAUCAAGUGACGGUAACUACCCAGAAAGGGACGGCUAACUACGUG